Molecule: ribosomal RNA, 407 nt
Filed under: uncultured bacterium
Lineage: Bacteria
Description: partial 16S ribosomal RNA
Rfam family: Bacterial small subunit ribosomal RNA
Source: RNAcentral
AUUGAACGCUGGCGGCAGGCCUAACACAUGCACAUAGAGCUGAGCUGCGGACGGGUGAGUAAUGACUAGGAAUCUGCCUGGUAGUGGGGGAUAACGUCCGGCAACGGGCGCUAAUACCGCAUACUAUCAGAUGAGCCUAGUUCGGAUUAGCUAGUUGGUGUGGUAAAGGCCUACCACGGCGACGAUCGGUAACUGGUCUGAGAGGAUGCUCAGUCCGAUUGGAACGUAGACACGGUCCAGACUCCUACUGGAGGCAGCAGUGGGUAAUAUGGGAAAAGUGGCGAAAGCCUGAUCCAGCCAUGCCGCGUGUGUGAAGAAGGUCUUCGGAUUGUAAAGCACUUUAAGUUGGGAGGGUUUACCACCUCAAUAAGCACCGGCUAACUUCGUGCCAGCAGCCGCGGUAAUAC